AUAUAUAGUACAGCUAUGGUGCUUGUAAAAGCACCAAUCACUUGGUGCUUGUAAGUUUUUUAUCGUUAGAUUUACUCCACGGAUCAUUUUCAACCAUUAGAUUAUACUAUUUAACCAACCACCCACUCAACCCUAUGGGGCCCGCAUCAUCCUAACCGCAUAUCUCUUAAUCCAAUGGCUAAAAAUCUACAAGUACCAAUGUCUUGGUGCUUUUAAAAGCAUAGGCGCUCAAU
This 233-nucleotide long non-coding RNA is filed under the name Ananas comosus (pineapple). RNAcentral describes it as "long non-coding RNA (ACOM_LNC003341)". Lineage: Eukaryota; Viridiplantae; Streptophyta; Magnoliopsida; Poales; Bromeliaceae. The record is from RNAcentral.